Long non-coding RNA from Etheostoma spectabile (orangethroat darter), 292 nucleotides. RefSeq lists it as uncharacterized. The record is from RefSeq and is a predicted model, not a curated record. The transcript is spliced from 2 exons. Lineage: Eukaryota; Metazoa; Chordata; Actinopteri; Perciformes; Percidae.
GAACCAUUAUUGUGAAUAGUUAGUGGAUACAUAAUGCUCCUGUGACUAGCCAGCCAGCCUCUGUGAGUACCAGAGUAUGUCUUUGAUUGAUAGGAGCAUGGAGACAUAAUGUAGACAAGUUGAAGCUGGUUACUUGACUUUUGAGCUUAUGACAAAACUAUUAUACAUUUAUUCUGGGAGUGUCGGUACACUGUGGAGUUCUGGAAGUGAAUUGAAAACUAUUUCAACAUUCAAAAGAAUUACGUAAUUAAAUUGGAAGCAAAAUAUGUAAUUCUUUGUUAUGAUAACAAAA